GCACUGCUGAGGAGUCCCAUAAUAGAACGAAACGGUCUUUGUCCAGUGU
This is a non-coding RNA of Schistosoma rodhaini, 49 nucleotides long. NCBI's taxonomy places the organism in Eukaryota, Metazoa, Platyhelminthes, Trematoda, Strigeidida, Schistosomatidae. The record is from Rfam.